GGACUACAGGGGUUUCUAAUCCUGUUUGCUCCCCUAGCUUUCGUGCAUCAGCGUCAGUUGUGGUCCAGUGAGCCGCUUUCGCCACAGGUGUUCCUUCCGAUAUCUACGCAUUUCACCGCUACACCGGAAAUUCCACUCACCUCUCCCACACUCCAGCCCGGCAGUUUCUCCUGCAGACUCUGAGUUGAGCCCAGAGAUUUCACAAAAGACUUACCAAACCGCCUACGCACCCUUUACGCCCAAUAAUUCCGAACAACGCUCGCCCCCCUCGUAUUACCGCGGCUGCUGGCAC
RNAcentral lists this ribosomal RNA (292 nucleotides) under uncultured Acidobacteriota bacterium. Its description in RNAcentral is "uncultured Acidobacteria bacterium partial 16S ribosomal RNA". Lineage: Bacteria; Pseudomonadati; Acidobacteriota. The record is from RNAcentral.